UACGUAGGGUGCGAGCGUUAAUCGGAAUUACUGGGCGUAAAGCGUGCGCAGGCGGUUCGUUGUGUCGGCGGUGAAAGCCCCGGGCUUAACCUGGGAAUGGCCGUUGAAACUGGCGAACUGGAGUGUGGCAGAGGGGGGUGGAAUUCCGCGUGUAGCAGUGAAAUGCGUAGAGAUCCGGAAGAACACCGGUGGCGAAGGCGGCCUGCUGGGCUAUGGCUGACACUGAGGCGCGACAGCGUGGGGAGCAAACAGG
This 253-nucleotide ribosomal RNA is filed under the name uncultured bacterium. RNAcentral describes it as "partial 16S ribosomal RNA". It matches the Rfam family "Bacterial small subunit ribosomal RNA", at positions 524 to 776 of the family's 1533-position model. The record is from RNAcentral.